GUUUGAUCCUGGCUCAGAAUGAACGCUGGCGGCGUGCCUAACACAUGCAAGUCGAAUGUGCCCGCAAGGGUGCAUGGCAGACGGGUGAGUAACGCGUGGGCAAUCUACCUUCUCGUGGGGAAUAACGAUCCGAAAGGAUUGGUAAUACCGCAUGAGACCGACGACUGGGAUGUUGUCGGUGAAACCUGGGGACCUUCGGGCCUGGGGCGAGAAGAGGAGCCUGCGUCUGAUUAGCUAGUUGGCGGGGUAACGGCCUACCAAGGCAUCGAUCAGUAGCCGGCCGGAGAGGGUGAUCGGCCACACUGGAACUGAGACACGGUCCAGACUCCUACGGGAGGCAGCAGUGGGGAAUUUUGCGCAAUGGACGAAAGUCUGACGCAGCAACGCCGCGUGGGUGAUGAAGGUCUUCGGAUCGUAAAACCCUGUCGUUGGGGACGAAGGUGGCUCAGUUAAUAGCUGAGUUGCUUGACGGUACCCGGAGAGGAAGCCCCGGCUAACUCUGUGCCAGCAGCCGCGGUAAUACAGAGGGGGCAAGCGUUAUUCGGAAUUAUUGGGCGUAAAGGGCGCGUAGGCGGUUUUUUAAGUCAGAUGUGUAAUCCCCGAGCUCAACUUGGGAACUGCAUCCGAGACUGGAAGGCUAGAGUACUGGAGAGGGUGGUGGAAUUCCUCGUGUAGCGGUGAAAUGCGUAGAGAUGAGGAGGAACACCAGUGGCGAAGGCGGCCACCUGGACAGUAACUGACGCUGAGGCGCGAAAGUGUGGGUAGCAAACAGGAUUAGAUACCCUGGUAGUCCACACUGUAAACGAUGAACACUUGGUGUGGAGGGAGUUGACCCCUUCCGUGCCGGAGCUAACGCGUUAAGUGUUCCGCCUGGGGAGUA
This 880-nucleotide ribosomal RNA is filed under the name uncultured bacterium. RNAcentral describes it as "bacterial SSU rRNA". It matches the Rfam family "Bacterial small subunit ribosomal RNA", at positions 11 to 882 of the family's 1533-position model. The record is from RNAcentral.